AUGGAAACUCCACUGAGCACUCUGCUGCUGCUCCUCUGUGUGCAGCUGACCUGGUCAAAUGGACAACUGCCAGUGGAACAGAAUGCUCCUUCCCUGAAAGUCAAGGAAGGUGACAGCGUCACACUGAACUGCAGUUACAGAGACAGCCCUUCAGAUUUCUUCAGUGGUUCAGGCAGGAUCCUGAGGAAGGCCUCAUUUCCCUGAUACAAAUGCUAUCAACUGUGAGAGAGAAGAUCAGUGGAAGAUUCACAGCCAGGCUUAAAAAAGGAGACCAGCACAUUUCCCUGCACAUACAGGAUUCCCAGCUCCAUGACUCAACCACAUUCUUCUGCGCAGCAAGCACACAGUGCCCACAGUCACCUGCACCCGGUACCUAAAGCUUGCUGAGGGGCCUGGGCACACCUCCUUUUAUAAGGGCCCUGGGGCACUGACUAUAACUCUGCUGCAUACAAAGGGAAAUAUGAGGGACUGUUUUAUAACAUAAUAUCAAACAUUUCAUUUGAAGACCAUGUGAGGAAGGAUAGUGUUUUCAAAUACCAUCUAAAGUACUUUGUUUCUCAGUGUGAGGCCCUUCCUUUGUGAAAACUAGCCCAAAAACUAGAGGCUAAAUAUCAAAAAGGAGAGAGCACUAAAGAACAAAGAAAGAACAGGGUAAAAUUCUUGUCUUUGAGCUUCUUUGUAGACUUUUACAAAGAUAUAGAAAAUACAAAAUCUUGAAAGCCAUGACCAUCAAAUUCAGUAGUGAAAGGAAAAAUAUUUUGACAUGCCAAAAAGAUUGGCUUAGAAGAUCAAGUACCAAAAUCUGAGGGAAAAUUGUACAAAGCAUUUAAAGGAAAAGAGAACACAACAUGGUAGAAAAGCUGUCUUCUCCUUAAAAGGGAUAAAAUGCCAACCAGCUAGCUAGAAAGGAAGUCAAUGAUGUGAGGAGAGGUCAUAAACAGUGAGUCCAGCAUCCUGCUCUUUUCUAGGGUCAGAGCUCUGAGCAGGUAGGGUGGGAGGAGGGUGAGUCACAUUUAGCAAUGACUCUGAACUGAAGGAACAGUGAAUUUUGGCAAAAACUGUUUUGAUCAUUGUGUCUUAUAUCAAUACUCACAAGAAAACGCCCAUUACAGAGGAAGCAUUCAACAACCAUGUGGACAAGACGGUCGGUCCAAAGCAUGUCAGCCAGCCAGAGAAUGUCUGUGCUUGUCAAUUUCUUGAACAAUAGACCCAUGAAUAGAUUAGCUGAGGUGACAGAUUGAGUUUCUUUAU
Homo sapiens (human) is the source of this 1251-nucleotide non-coding RNA. The record is from the annotation of a RefSeq genome assembly. Lineage: Eukaryota; Metazoa; Chordata; Mammalia; Primates; Hominidae.